This 1190-nucleotide long non-coding RNA is filed under the name Capra hircus (goat). RNAcentral's name for it is "lncRNA (ENSCHIG00010005915.1)". Lineage: Eukaryota; Metazoa; Chordata; Mammalia; Artiodactyla; Bovidae. The record is from RNAcentral.
AAGUACUGGAGUUUAAUGUCAGCAAAAUGAUUCUGGAAACAUAGGUUGUGGGUUUCCUUUUUAACUUCUAAAUGGUACAGAUGUUUAGGGUUAUAGCUGAAAUAUUCUUCUUGGGAGACCAAAAUCUGAGAAAUCCUCUUUUUUUGUUCUGGUUGAUUCUGCCUGCUCUAAAACCAUCACCCCUGACCACAGGGAUCUUUGUCAUUUCAUCCACGAACUGUGGGAAUGACUGGGUGAGAGCAGACAGGCACAGAUGUGAUAUAAAUUCUAUCCCACCAUUAAAAGGUUCAUCUCAAACUAACAAGCAAACACCAAAUAGUCAACUGAUACUGAAUCAGCAAUGCUAUCUUUUCCAUUAUGCUAGAAUAUUUUAAUGUGGUGUUUAUCAUGGGCAAAAUGUUUGCUUUUAGAAUUGCUAACAUUUCUAAUGCAUACAUUCUCCUAAGUUUAGCAUGAAAAAGCAAUUAUCAUCUGAAUGGCAUAUUUGUCCCUAAAUGGAUUCUUUACUUGGAAAUCAAUAACUUUGUUUCAGAAGGAAAAUAAAUAUUUGGCAUGUUGAUGAUUUGAGAUUUUUUUCUCACCAUCAGAAGUCUUUGUCCCUGUUUUUGUCUUAUGAACUACUGAAUUUAAGUCAGUGUUAUGUCUUCCUAAUGAAAAUUAUUUUUAGAAUUCAGUUAGAGAAACAAAAGGCCUGUGAAUCAAAUGCAAUUGAGAAUCCAGUGGCAUUUGUAGCACAAUGAUUGUUCAAACUGAUUUGACUUCAAAUUUCUUUGGAGACAUGCUUUUAAAAUUCAUGCUUUUUUUUUCAUUCAAGUUUCAGCACAGUUUAUNNNNNNNNNNNNNNNNNNNNNNNGCAGGGAGAAGGUAUUUCAGAUGGAAGGGACAGUGAAAGGGUAGAACAGUAGAGGAGUUUGAAAAGAAGCAUAAAAACAAUGGGCUUGCUUUUACACCCAGACUUCUAGGUGAGAGCUAUAUCAAGGAGACCUUGAAUUGUCUUCUCCUGGCAGUCAGACUGAAAUACAUACAGGUACUUACUAUAGCUGUUGGUGACUAGAAUUCAUACAGUUCGGCAUUUGCCAGCCAUAAAAUUUCCUCUUUGCCUCACGGGUCAAUGCCAAAGCCCCCAGAAUCCUUGUAAUGUCCAACUACAAAAGGGCAGGAGUCUGGAAUCCCCUGGGUCUGGAUGACCC